GGGGUUAUAGCUCAGUGGUAGAGCGCUCGCUUUGCAUUCCUAUAGCUAAACUGCGAGAGGUCGAGGGUUCGAUCCCCUCUGACUCCA
Aspergillus carbonarius ITEM 5010 is the source of this 87-nucleotide transfer RNA. It matches the Rfam family "tRNA". From Rfam's summary of the family: Transfer RNA (tRNA) molecules are approximately 80 nucleotides in length. Their secondary structure includes four short double-helical elements and three loops (D, anti-codon, and T loops). The record is from Rfam. NCBI's taxonomy places the organism in Eukaryota, Fungi, Ascomycota, Eurotiomycetes, Eurotiales, Aspergillaceae.